Molecule: small RNA, 532 nt
Filed under: Arabidopsis thaliana (thale cress)
Lineage: Eukaryota; Viridiplantae; Streptophyta; Magnoliopsida; Brassicales; Brassicaceae
Description: ATSL263460
Source: RNAcentral
UAAACACAAAUACAUAAUCAUUUAGAUUUAGACAUAAUUGUACCAAUUGUCCUAUAUUAUGUCUCAUUAAUACCAUUUAUACCACCUGUCCUAUUUUAUCUUAAUAAAACAUUUGUACCACCUGUACUAUUAUGUCUCAGUUUUACCAUUUGUCCCAGUUCGUCUAUCCUGGGUUUCUCAAAUCGUGAAAUUCGAUUGAACACUGAAAUCUCCGAUUCAAAACGAUACAACAGCCCAUAAUGAACAAUACAACAAUUUUAUGUUAUUAACAAAUAACUCAAACAAGAAAUUCACAUUAAUCUACAAAUCAAAAGGAGAUCGGAUUUACUUUUGCCGGUGAGGAGGAAGCUAACUUUGAGAGCAGAUUAUCGGAUUGGAAGCUACGGCGAGCCUAGAAGCUAACUCGCCGGUGAAAUCGGAGCUCAAGUCGCCGGCGAAAUCAGAGCUCAAGUCGCCGACGAAAUCGGAGAAAAUAAGGAACCGGAGAACUCAGAAGAAGGAGACGCGAAGCGAUGGAUAGGAAUUAACCGUU